RNAcentral lists this ribosomal RNA (656 nucleotides) under Ramaria sp. OSC 111760. Its description in RNAcentral is "eukaryotic LSU rRNA". The stretch from base 256 to 410 matches the Rfam family "5.8S ribosomal RNA". Lineage: Eukaryota; Fungi; Basidiomycota; Agaricomycetes; Gomphales; Gomphaceae. The record is from RNAcentral.
AAAGNUUCGUAGUGAACUGCGGAGGAUCAUUACAGUAUGAUUAAAGGGGGUUUCGCUGGCCCGCCAGGGCAAUGUGCGUGCCCCCGUCUACCAUAUUCAAUAUUUAUACACCUGUGCACCCAUGGCGAGUGCCUCCUCCCCCGUUUUGGAGACGUCCAGUCGGGCCGAGGCAUUCCCGCUUUCUAUCUUGUAUCACAACCCUGUUCAAACGCAUGUCUAUUUGAAGCCCCACGGGGUGGAUUUUAAAAUCGGUACAACUUUCAACAACGGAUCUCUUGGCUUUCGCAUCGAUGAAGAACGCCGCGAAAGUGCGAAACGUAAUGUGAAUUGCAGAAUUCAGUGAAUCAUCGAAUCUUUGAACGCAUCUUGCGCUCCUUGGUAUUCCGAGGAGCAUGCCUGUUUGAGUGUCGUGAAACUCCCUCAACCCUUACUCCUUUGUUGGAAGUAAGGUUUGGAUUUGGAUGCCUGCGGCUUGGCCCAGCCUUGCCCGCUCGUCUUUAAAUGCAUUAGCUUGGGUCCCAAUCUCGGAGUUGGUUCGAUUGACGGUGUGAUAAUUAAAUGCUUACUUACCACCGUUUGGGUCGACUCUGAACCCCCGGGGGCCUGCUUACAGCCGUCUUCGGACAAUGCCUUUCAUGUCAUCUGACCUCAAAUCA